This 246-nucleotide ribosomal RNA is filed under the name uncultured bacterium. Its description in RNAcentral is "partial 16S ribosomal RNA". It matches the Rfam family "Bacterial small subunit ribosomal RNA", at positions 111 to 353 of the family's 1533-position model. The record is from RNAcentral.
UAACACGUGGGUAACCUGCCUUAUAGUGGGGGAUAGCCCUUCGAAAGGAAGAUUAAUACCGCAUAAGAUUGUAGUAUCGCAUGAUAUAGCAAUUAAAGGAGCAAUUCGCUAUAAGAUGGACCCGCGUCGCAUUAGCUAGUUGGUGAGGUAAUGGCUCACCAAGGCGACGAUGCGUAGCCGACCUGAGAGGGUGAACGGCCACAUUGGGACUGAGACACGGCCCAGACUCCUACGGGAGGCAGCAUG